This is a long non-coding RNA of Syzygium oleosum, 592 nucleotides long. RefSeq lists it as uncharacterized. Lineage: Eukaryota; Viridiplantae; Streptophyta; Magnoliopsida; Myrtales; Myrtaceae. The transcript has 2 exons. The record is from RefSeq and is a predicted model, not a curated record.
CAUGGAUCAUUUUGUCACAUGAUUGAUUUGGUCUGGCUAACUUGGCUGAGAAAGUUCAAAUUCCAUACCAGAGACCCGAUCAAAUGAAGAAGAGGGAUUUUGCUGAGGAAGCAUUAGCAACAGGUGGAGGGCCAUCUUGUGUGCCAGCCUUGAAGAGGCUCAUGGGCCAACUGAAGUGUCCUGAGGAAAUUUUAUGCUUGUGAAGAUAACACUUAAUCUGGUCUCAACUGAACAUACCUGAAUGAUUGUGAAUUUGCAUUCUAAUGACGCCACUCCUGAACAUGAUGAGGCUCUGCAGAGGGAGAUUUGCGCUGCCGGUCGUAACUAUGAAAGAGUAACUUGUGUACUUAUACUAUAUGAGCGGUGGAAUUUCACCUUUGAAUCUGUACACAAGGAUGCAUGACUACAAUCUCCUCCAUUUUUUAUAUUAUUCGCAUCAGUUUUGUUCCUAAUCACAAACAAGGAAAGUGUUGCUAAUUGCUUAGUUCUCCCAAGCCUGUUGUUUUCUUUUUCAUCGGCGGCUAAUUAAGUCGGUUGAUUGAGGUCCAACUGUGAACCAAUCAGAGACACCUGGAAUGUGUGGCGAGAUAUG